GUCAAUGGGACCACACCUUUUGAACAAAAGCAUAUUCAGUUUAUAGAGUUAAAACUGAAAAAUGACUCAUAACCUAAUAUUUCAGCUAAUCCAGUAGCUUAUACAUAAAACAUCAUAACCUUGAAAAACAAAUAUACUUCAAAGAAGAAAAAAACCAUUAAUAAUGCUAUCUGAAAGAUUACAUCCAAGCAAAAAUUUUAAUCACCCCCGUCACCCCAUUCAAAAAAAUUAAUACACCUGAAAACAAUUUUUAUUCAUCCUGCUUAACCCACCCCAUUGGAAUUAUCUUCAGAUAAAGUUAUAAUACCAGAUUACACUUAUUUGUACAUCCAAUAACAACACUGUGGCUGUUAAAAAAAAAAAAAACACAAAAAACACCAAAAAAAAAGAACAAAUAAAAAAAAAAAAGUUAAUCGGUAUGGAAAGGAACUUUAUAGUUAAAACAUAAACCUCAGAAUAAAAUAAAAAAAAUUAUACAAGCAUUACCUUAUGCAAAAGCAUAAUAAACAAAAGCAUAAUAAAAUAAAAUAUUAUACAGGCAUUACUCUAUGCAAAAUGUUACUACUCUAAACAUACAUGUAAAGUAAACCUGGAAUGGAUAUAAUAACUUGAAAAGUAUUUACAAAAAGGAAAAAGUCUAGCAAAAAGCAUCUAAUUACUAGUAAAGUUUACUUGAAGUCCUGAUUUUAACACAGCAGGAACAUAGAUAAUAAAGGUUACACAUAACCUGAUAACCAUGUUACAUAACAAAUCCCC
Molecule: long non-coding RNA, 756 nt
Filed under: Mytilus galloprovincialis (Mediterranean mussel)
Lineage: Eukaryota; Metazoa; Mollusca; Bivalvia; Mytilida; Mytilidae
Source: RNAcentral